GCCAGGCGUGGUGGCUCACGCCUGUAAUCCCAGCACUUUGGGAGGCUGAGGUGGGUGGAUCACCUGAGGUCAGGAGUUCGAGACCAGCCUGGCCAACAUGGUGAAACCCCGUCUCUA
This is an unclassified non-coding RNA of Pongo abelii (Sumatran orangutan), 117 nucleotides long. It matches the Rfam family "Metazoan signal recognition particle RNA". Rfam says of the family: The signal recognition particle (SRP) is a universally conserved ribonucleoprotein. The record is from Ensembl. Lineage: Eukaryota; Metazoa; Chordata; Mammalia; Primates; Hominidae.